This 684-nucleotide ribosomal RNA is filed under the name Marinobacter sp. Its description in RNAcentral is "bacterial SSU rRNA". It matches the Rfam family "Bacterial small subunit ribosomal RNA", at positions 62 to 740 of the family's 1533-position model. Lineage: Bacteria; Pseudomonadati; Pseudomonadota; Gammaproteobacteria; Pseudomonadales; Marinobacteraceae. The record is from RNAcentral.
ACAAGAGGUGGUGGCUUCGCACCCCGCUGACGAGCGGCGGACGCCGUGAUGUAAUGCAUAGGAAAUUGCCCAGUAGUGGGGGAUAGCCCGGGGAAACCCGGAUUAAUACCGCAUACGUCCUUCGGGAGAAAGCAGGGGAUCUUCGGACCUUGCGCUAUUGGAUGUGCCUAUGUCGGAUUAGCUAGUUGGUGGGGUAAAGGCCUACCAAGGCGACGAUCCGUAGCUGGUCUGAGAGGAUGAUCAGCCACAUCGGGACUGAGACACGGCCCGAACUCCUACGGGAGGCAGCAGUGGGGAAUAUUGGACAAUGGGGGCAACCCUGAUCCAGCCAUGCCGCGUGUGUGAAGAAGGCUUUCGGGUUGUAAAGCACUUUCAGUGAGGAGGAAAACCUUAUGGUUAAUACCCAUGAGGCUUGACGUUACUCACAGAAGAAGCACCGGCUAACUCCGUGCCAGCAGCCGCGGUAAUACGGAGGGUGCAAGCGUUAAUCGGAAUUACUGGGCGUAAAGCGCGCGUAGGUGGUUUGAUAAGCGAGAUGUGAAAGCCCCGGGCUUAACCUGGGAACGGCAUUUCGAACUGUCAGGCUAGAGUAUGGUAGAGGGUAGUGGAAUUUCCUGUGUAGCGGUGAAAUGCGUAGAUAUAGGAAGGAACACCAGUGGCGAAGGCGGCUACCUGGACCAAUAC